RNAcentral lists this ribosomal RNA (380 nucleotides) under uncultured bacterium. Its description in RNAcentral is "bacterial SSU rRNA". It matches the Rfam family "Bacterial small subunit ribosomal RNA", at positions 28 to 429 of the family's 1533-position model. The record is from RNAcentral.
GAUCAACGCUGGCGGCGUGCCUAACGCAUGUAAGUCGCACGCACGUCCUCGGACGUGAGUGGCGAACGGCUGAGGAACACGUACGAACCUGCCCGACCGUGGGGAAGUAACGCGCGGAAACGACGUGCUAAUACCGCGUACGCUGGAGCAAUCCAGGAAAGCCGCAAGGCGCGGACGGAGGGGCGUGCGGCCCAUCAGGUAGUUGGCGGGGUAAAAGCCCACCAAGCCAUUGACGGGUUGCGGUCUGUGAGGAUGAUCAGCCAGACUGGGACUGAGAAACGGCCAGACACCUACGGGUGGCAGCAGCGAGGAAUCUUCCACAAUGGGCGCAAGCCCGAUGGAGCAACGCCGCGUGGAGGACGACGGCCUUCGGUUGUAAC